CUUAUGUCAAAAUUUUUAAGAGUUUAUGAUUUUGUUUAUUUAUUCUUCAAACAAAAUAUAGAAAAAAAGAUAACAAUGUCUAUUUUAAUUCUCAAUAAAAAGAGCAUUCUUUAAACUUACGCCAGCAAAUAUGUUUCACAAGGCCGAAGAUUCGAAAGGAAACUUUUUAGAGCAAACCAAAGCUGCAAGGGAAGAAAGGGCAUUAGAAAAACGACGUGAAAGUGCUAUAAUUCUUAUUCAGGCUAAUGUUCGUGGCUGGUUGACUAGAAUAAAGUUUUCUAAGGAGAUCUUAAUCCAUUCUUUUAGAGAUGAAUUUGAUAGCGUUAUACCAGAUUUAUCAGAGAAAUAUUCAAAGCAGCAUUUGAAACCAGCACUUGAUAUUUACCGUCAAAGUAUUAGAUUAUUAUUAAUAUGGAGCAAGAAAAGAGAUGCAGAACGCUUUGCCAAAUUAUGUCGCUAUUUGGUGGCAUCACUUGAUUCAGAUUCCCCCAAAUAUAGUUAUGUUGGUGUAGCUUUAAAUAAGGAACAUGUGAUAAAAUGGAUCUCUCAUAUGAAUAAUUUGUUAUGGAAGUGCUGUGAGUACUUAGAAGAGUUAAAACUAGAACUUGCUGCUGAUAUGAAAACGAUAGUGUUAUAUUUACGUGUACUGGUUUCAUUUACAAGUACAAAUACAUGGGUUGUUCUGAAGAAUAAAAAUAUGGAAGUGUUGAAAAGUGGCAUGAAUCAGUUAUGUGCCAAUCUUAUGGGUCAAUUGUUUCACAAAGGAUUUUAUAUUACAUUAAAAACUCUACUUAUUAAGGGUUUAGGAAGAAUAAAAAUCGCUUUUAAAACAGUUUCAAUUUCUGCAAUUUUUACUCUUGCAAUGAGACCAUUGGUAUCAGCAAAUUUUUCAGACAAGUUCAUGACUAUAUUUUUAAUAAAUAUUCUGUCUGUGCCAGGACUAAUUUAUCAUUUAGAAAUCCUUUCUCCAGAGUCCAUAUCUACUAUUCAACAAUAUAAAUUAUUUACAAGAAGUUUAGAGAUACUUUCUAGUCAACAGUCAAUGAGAAUAGUGUUUAAUAUUUUAGAAGGAAGUUAUGCUUUGUGUCUUUUAGCAAAUCUAAUUCAAAUGGCAUAUCUUGAAAGGAAGACUACAUUAAAAGACUUGUGUUUUCCAACAUUUACUGUUGUUGUUACAGGCUUAUUAGAGAGCUGUCAAAAUUAUGUUGUUAGUAAAAAGUCAACUUUAACACAUUGGCAUCCAGUUUUGGGCUGGUUUGCUCAACCACAAGACCCUGCUUUACAUGAUGCCAUACCGCACAUCAAGAUACAACUUCAUUUAUUAUGGAAUAUUGAGCUAAUGCAAAUUCUUUUGGGUAAUUUUUUAUCUGAACUAGUUCAAGGAGUUGAACCGCCACAUCAAUUCAGCCCAACACAAAAUCCACACUUUGGUGGUAGUAGUUUUUUUAAAAAAAUGUUAGAAAAUCGAAGUAACAAAACUUCUACACAAAAGACAUAUAGAGCAUUAGGAAGUCCAGAAGUACACAGAGUUGUACUUAUUUGUUCUUUGUAUCAUACAGCUUUACGUACUUUGACUCAAUUACAAUUAGAUAUUUUAACAGGGUUAUGCUAUCAGAAUUCUAUUUUAUAUGACUUGUGGCUGUUUCUUUCCUCUUUGGGGCCAAAUUGUGGUCUUAAAACAUUUUUGGAUCAUCUAGCGUUUAACACCAAGUGUUCAGCACCAGAAUUUCAAAUGUUACAGCUUUUUGCUGAUUGUAUGACUCAUUAUGUUACGUUAUUAGAUGAUAUGGAAAUGUAUGAAAAACAGUCGCCUUUUCAUUUAUCUGAUUUUGUAGCUAUGUCUAAUUUUUUAAACAUAUUUUUAUAUAAAGCAGUCCUAGGAAAUUUGUUUGAUAUUAAGACUAUUCAAAAUAAUACACUAUUUCAAUCUUUACAUACACUCUUAAUGGUUUUAUACAAAAGGGACUGUUGGCAUAGUUAUACUCCACCAGGUCACUGGCUAAUUAAAGAUAUCAAAGUAUCUUCUUUUCUGAUUGAUCUUGAAAAAGGCAAACGUGCUCCACAGUUAUUAUUACAAACAAUGCCACAUAUCAUACCUCACGAAGACCGAGUAAGACUAUUUAGGAAAUAUAUUGCCAACGAAAAGACUGUUUUAGGACUAACUGAGUCAGCUUGUGCUUCUCCACAAUCCACAUUAAUAACAGUUCACAGAAACCGAAUUGUUGAAGAUGGUUAUCGUCAAUUGGCGGAUUUACCGCCACAAGCUUUAAAGGGAGUGAUAAGAGUUAGAUUUAUCAACGAAUAUGGUUUGGAUGAGGCUGGGAUAGACCAGGAUGGUGUGUUUAAAGAAUUCUUAGAAGAAAGUAUUAAAAAAGUGUUUGAUCCGGCUCUGAAUCUGUUCAAAGCGACAAGUGAAGAACGGCUGUAUCCAUCAUCUAUUUCUCAUUUGCAAGAUAACCAUCUACAAUUGUUUGAAUUUACAGGACGUAUGUUGGGAAAGGCUAUUUAUGAGGGUAUAGUAGUAGAUGUGCCUUUUGCUUCAUUCUUUCUCAGUCAGGUGUCUGGUCAAACAGCUCAAGCUAUGUACAGCUGUGUGGAUGAACUUCCGUCUUUAGAUCCUGCUUUGUACAGAAGUUUGAGUUAUGUGAAGCAUUAUGAAGAAGAUGUUUCUGAACUGAAUUUAACUUUUAGUGUAGAUGAAGAUCACAUGGGUAAAGUUAUAACUUACGAACUGAUACCUGGAGGCAAGGCAGAACCAGUGACAAAAGAUAAUAUUUCGUAACUAGUUGUUCCAAACCACCACUAUUGGGAUUUGCACAUUUGGAACCACCAUUUUCCAUUAGAUGCGUUGAAGUAGGUGAUGAUGAAGAUACCGGUGAUACUAUUGGGAGUGUAUUUAGAGGAUUCUUUACUAUAAGAAAAAAAGAUCCACAAAAUCGCCUACCCACUUCGUCUACAUGUUUUAAUCUAUUGAAACUGCCAAACUAUCAAAAGAAAAGUACCCUGCGCGAAAAAUUAAGAUAUGCGGUAAAUUGUAAUACAGGAUUUGAACUAUCGUAAACAAUUAUUUUUAUUUGAAAUAAAUAUGUCAAAAACAUUGCAGAGGGAGCCAUUAUCAUUGAAAUAGUAGACAAAUAAAAUUUGUAAUGGUUUCAAAGUUUUUAAACUACGACUUAUUAAUAUACAGGUUAGUCUUAAAUAAAUGCAAAUAUUUUAGGCAUAGUAUAUUUCGACCUCAGAAACUUUAUACUUAAACUUUUGAAUUUUUUUUAGUUUUUAACUAAAAACAUAAUUUCUUGAUAAUAUCGUAACAUAGGUAGUAGAUUAAAUUUACAAGAAAGAAAACCCAGAAAAGAUCCAGUGGUUUGCAAAAUUUAAACAUUUUUUUAGUUUUUAAAGUAAAUAACUCGGUUAUUUUGGACUUAUUCGAAAACGGUAAAGAGAAAAUAUGUUUAUUUUAUCGAGAUCUACAAUCCCCAAAAUAUUUGUACUUAUUUAAGAUUCAUCUUGUAUAAUAAACAUCUAUAAAAGAACGAAAACGAAAUGAUAUUGCCUUAGAAACGCGUGAAUUUGAUUAUAUUUUCAUAUUUUGCUCUACAAGUGUAUGGAAGUUUGGAAAAGUAAAAUCAAGAGAUUAACUAUAUUACAACAAGCAAAAACCAUUAUGAAGAAUGUAUUUUACUCAAAAAGUUUAUAAUGAAAAAGUUUUUUUCCUUGUAAAGGCAAUCUGUGUAUUCCGGGACAUACUGUGUAUUAAAAAAGGAUCUUAAAUAAAAAUCAGUUCAUUAUGACUUAAUCAGUACAAAUUAACAGAUAUUACUGUUAGUAGAUGUAUUGUAAAUUAUUUCAAUUAUUUUGGCUUAGACUUUAGAGUGUUAUUUGCUUGAGAGAUAGAAACAAAAUAUAAUAUUAUACAUGAAUGUGGAAUUGAUACUUUUCAUAUCAAUUUUUAAGUCCCAUGCCCAGUUUUAAACAAUAAUACUUAAAUAAUUUGUAUACAUUAAGUAAUACAUAGUUAAAAUUAAUUAUCGUUUGAUAUUAUUUAUUGGUAGUGCAAUCUAGGAAGAUAUAUUAAGUGAUAUUCGUUUUAAAGUAAGACCGCCGGUGUAUAAUGAUAGUAAUUCUAUGUUGUAUAUUUUUGUAUAUCCAAAAAUAGCUGUAUAUCCCGUAAAUGUUCCUUAUUUUAAUAAAUAUAUGUUUUAACAA
RNAcentral lists this unclassified non-coding RNA (4206 nucleotides) under Sitophilus oryzae (rice weevil). Its description in RNAcentral is "ubiquitin-protein ligase E3B, transcript variant X1". The record is from RNAcentral. Lineage: Eukaryota; Metazoa; Arthropoda; Insecta; Coleoptera; Curculionidae.